UCCAGUCCUCUCUCAGCCCCCUACUGCCCGAAAUCCAGCAGCGACCGCCGGCGCAUCUCACCCCGGGCCGAGACCGACGAAUCCCCAAGGAAGCCGGAGAUGCAGCAGGGCGAUGGCACGGAGGCGCAGGUGACGUGGGACGACCAGCAGAACAUCAACCGGUUCGGCCGCCUCAACAACCGCCUCCACGAGCUCGCGGACGAGAUCAGGCUCGCCAAGGAAGCAAACGAAAACCUUGAAGAUGCUGGGAAUGAACUCAUCUUGUCUGAUGAAGAUGUGGUGCGUUUCCAAAUUGGGGAAGUGUUUGCCCACAUGCCAGUGGAUGAUGUGGAAGCUAAGCUAGAGCAGAUGAAAGAGGAUGCAGCCAAGAAGCUGGAGAGGCUGGAGGAAGAGAAGGAAUCCAUCCUCACACAUAUGGCCGAGCUGAAGGAGAUCCUCUACGGGAAAUUUGGAAAGGCCAUCAACCUGGAGGAAGAUUGA
This 480-nucleotide ribosomal RNA is filed under the name Triticum aestivum (bread wheat). Its description in RNAcentral is "partial small subunit ribosomal RNA". Lineage: Eukaryota; Viridiplantae; Streptophyta; Magnoliopsida; Poales; Poaceae. The record is from RNAcentral.